Molecule: ribosomal RNA, 497 nt
Filed under: uncultured bacterium
Lineage: Bacteria
Description: partial 16S ribosomal RNA
Rfam family: Bacterial small subunit ribosomal RNA
Source: RNAcentral
GAUGAACGCUGGCGGCGUGCCUAAUACAUGCAAGUCGAGCGAACAGAUGAGGAGCUUGCUCCUCUGACGUUAGCGGCGGACGGGUGAGUAACACGUGGAUAACCUACCUAUAAGACUGGGAUAACUUCGGGAGACCGGAGCUAAUACCGGAUAAUAUAUUGAACCGCAUGGUUCAAUAGUGAAAGACGGUUUUGCUGUCACUUAUAGAUGGAUCCGCGCCGCAUUAGCUAGUUGGUAAGGUAACGGCUUACCAAGGCAACGAUGCGUAGCCGACCUGAGAGGGUGAUCGGCCACACUGGAACUGAGACACGGUCCAGACUCCUACGGGAGGCAGCAGUAGGGAAUCUUCCGCAAAGGGCGAAAGCCUGACGGAGCAACGCCGCGUGAGUGAUGAAGGUCUUCGGAUCGUAAAACUCUGUUAUUAGGGAAGAACAAAUGUGUAAGUAACUAUGCACGUCUUGACGGUACCUAAUCAGAAAGCCACGGCUAACUACGUG